Small nucleolar RNA from Capsicum annuum, 108 nucleotides. The record is from RefSeq and is a predicted model, not a curated record. Lineage: Eukaryota; Viridiplantae; Streptophyta; Magnoliopsida; Solanales; Solanaceae.
UGAUGGUGAUGAGGAUAACUUUUUAGCAUUCCCUUGAAUCUCUCCCAAGCUUGGUAGAGAUUUUCUCUAUCUUUCUGUCUGAAAACUCAAUAUCUCACUCCUCAAUAG